This 1948-nucleotide long non-coding RNA is filed under the name Marmota monax (woodchuck). The record is from RNAcentral. Lineage: Eukaryota; Metazoa; Chordata; Mammalia; Rodentia; Sciuridae.
GGGCGAGCCCUCUGCCAUGUCGGCGCUGUCGGGCACCUGCCGCUCCUCAUAGCACAUGCUGAUGGGGAACCUGGGUGGGACGGCCCUGUGGACCCCCCUGGUCUGGCCUCUGCUGGAGGUUGCCGGGCCCCACUCUCAGCCCUGCUCAGUUUGUGGGAAUCAGCACCAGCUCGCCAGAGGGGGGANGGCCCUGUGGACCCCCCUGGUCUGGCCUCUGCUGGAGGUUGCCGGGCCCCACCCUCAGCCCUGCUCAGUUUGUGGGAAUCAGCACCAGCUCGCCAGAGGGGGGACCUGGGACUUCCAAAGGCCCCUGUCCACCCCCACAGCAGUCAGAGCAGAGCCACUGCAGCCUCUACCUGUGUGUGCUCAGAGGCCCGUCGAGGUGGCACCUUCCAUUAGCAAGAGAUCUACAGACCAGGAAAGGCAGCUCAGAGAGGGGGCACCAUCUGCCCAAGGCCACACAGCCAAAAACGCAGGAGGAAAGACUUCAGGCCAAAAUGUGCUCCCUGAUCUGAUGUGCCGGUCGGGAGGCCCCUCCAGUCCCCGUGCAGGAGGUUGGCGUGGGGCAGCCUCAAAGGAGAAAGCACCUGUCCCGGGGGCCUCUGGGAAGUUGCUAGGACAUGGGUUUUGACUGGGUGUUCUGGGGCCGGAGUUCUGCUCACCCCACUGCCUCCUGCCUAAUGGAUGGACUGUCCUGCCGCCGCCCAGGAAAGCCUGAGCUCGGCCUAACCCUCUGCCUGGACCUGGCUGACCUGUGUCUCAUAGGAACACAGCACCCGUCGCAUGCUUUUAAUACGAUCUGACAUUUUUCGUUUCUUCAGGGCUGAGGACUGAGGCUAGGGCCUCCCAGGCAAGCGCUGGGCCACCGAGCUACACCCCCAGCCCUGGAGUGAGGUUUUCAGGGGUGCAGCUGCUGGGCACAUGAAGGAGGCCUGGCUGUUUUACCCAAGCCGUGCCCUGGGCUGCUUAGUGGCUGGAGACACUGUGGCGGGUGCGGCCGGGCGCCUGGCAUGUGACCGGGCAUCUGGACGGGAGCUGGUUUUGUGCCCCAACACUGACCUCUGGAGGCUGGCGACUCUGAGCUCCGCGGCUCUCUGUGGGCCUCUCCCUGCAGGACGGGACCCUAAGGAGGCUGUGUGUCCCCUUCAGAUAGCAAAGGGGCAUCUGAGGACAUCUGUCACUGCUCCCCUGAGCCUCUCUGGCCAUGGCCGCUGUCCCAGAUCCCUCUGUCAUUCUCCAGGUGAGAAACAGGCAGGGACUCGAGCCCUGGGUCACAGGCCUAGGCUGGUUGCCUGACCCGACUUUGACAGAGGCAAAGUGACUUUGAAUCCGACCCCCUCCCCCCAGCAGAGCGCCCUCAGACCUGCAUUUGGAGGAUCAGAGCUGGCCCUGAAGGCCUCCCCAUGCGGGCAGCGGGCUCCAGGCUCAGUAGCCUCAUGCCUAGGCUGGGCUCUCGGCCAGCGUUUCCAGAACAUCUGGAAUGCAUGUGGCAGGUCGCUGGAUGCGCUGCUGCGGGUUUGGCUGUGUCCUUGUGUGUCACCUGAUUACCAUUAUUUACUUAAGGUCCUUUCCCUCCAGAUCAAUUGAUUUUAAAAGAAAUAUGCCUUUAAAAAGAAGUAUAUAAGCCAGACACGGUGGUGCACACCUGUAAUCCCAGCAGCUCUGGAGGCUGAGGCAAGAGGAUCGUGGGUUCAAAGCCAGCCUCAGCAACUCAGUGAGGGGCUAGAUAACUCAGCAAGCCCCUGUCUCUAAAUAAAAAAUUAAAAAGGUUGGGGACGUGGCUCAGUGGCUAAAUGCCCCUGGGUUCAAUCCCUGGUGAAAAGAAAAGUAUUCAGAGUAAGAGCGGAAGUCCUCUCAGUGACCCAGGCACCUCCCUGAUCCCACCUGCACUGCACCCCUCUCUCCCGACCCUCUGCUGUGGCCAGGCUGGCUCAGACCUUGAACAGGG